This is a small nuclear RNA of Suricata suricatta (meerkat), 107 nucleotides long. NCBI's taxonomy places the organism in Eukaryota, Metazoa, Chordata, Mammalia, Carnivora, Herpestidae. The record is from Ensembl.
GUACUUGCCUUGGGAGCACAUAUACUAAAAAUUGGAAUGAUACAGAAAAGAGUAGCAUGACCCCUAUGCAAUGACGACACACAAAUUCGUAAGUGUUUCCUAUCUUA